This 468-nucleotide ribosomal RNA is filed under the name uncultured bacterium. RNAcentral describes it as "bacterial SSU rRNA". It matches the Rfam family "Bacterial small subunit ribosomal RNA", at positions 29 to 526 of the family's 1533-position model. The record is from RNAcentral.
AGCGAACGUUGGCGAUGUGUUUUAAGCAUGCAAGUCGAGCGGCCAGCAAUGGCAGCGGCGAACUGGUGAGUAACACGUAGGUAAUCUGCCGUAAAGUGGGGGACAGCCCUUGGAAACGAGGAUUAAUACCGCAUAUACUCUUGCCACAUAAGUGGAGUAGAGGAAAGUAGUAAUACGCUUUACGAUGAACCUGCGUCCUAUUAGCUAGUUGGUGGGGUAAUAGCCUACCAAGGCAACGAUAGGUAGCCGACCUGAGAGGGUGACCGGCCACAUUGGGACUGAGAUACGGCCCAGACUACUACGGUGGGCAGCAGCUGAGAAUUUUCCGCAAUGGACGAAAGUCUGACGGAGCGACAUCGCGUGAGGGAUGAAUGCCUUAGGGUUGUAAACCUCAGAAAUUACUGAAAAAUAAAUGAUAGUAAGUAAUGUAAGCCUCGGCUAACUACGUGCCAGCAGCCGCGGUAAUAC